CCCUACGGGGUGCACCAGGUCCAAAAAUUUGCCCCAUCAUGGAUUCUUUCGAACCCACGCCAGGCAAACAAUGCGAUGAUCACCAGCAAUCCGAUUAGAAUCAACCCCUGUGCACUAAUCCCUUCCUCUCCUUUGGUUGGAUCAAAGGGAACCAAUCGAUAUAAUGUCUCCUGCAACGUGUCCAUCCCCCGUAUAGGAAGGGUGAAGGAGGCAUAUGUAUUGGAGAGGAAAUUAAGUUUGAGGGUGCCGGAAAGCAGCAAUGCCACCAGGAUUAGUAAAAAUAUCGUGCGCCCUUUGCGCAUUUUCUCGUGUUGCGAAAAAGCAUCAUCUAAAUUCGAAAUCCGUGCUUCAGCCUCUUUGCGGAAAAUUAAAGACAUGAUCAUACCGAUUCCGAUGCCAAACGUCAGCGAAAUGAAUUGGCGGGAGAGC
RNAcentral lists this ribosomal RNA (429 nucleotides) under uncultured prokaryote. Its description in RNAcentral is "partial 16S ribosomal RNA". The record is from RNAcentral.